Molecule: ribosomal RNA, 1058 nt
Filed under: Staphylococcus sp.
Lineage: Bacteria; Bacillati; Bacillota; Bacilli; Caryophanales; Staphylococcaceae
Description: bacterial SSU rRNA
Rfam family: Bacterial small subunit ribosomal RNA
Source: RNAcentral
UCGAGCGAACAGACGAGGAGCUUGCUCCUCUGACGUUAGCGGCGGACGGGUGAGUAACACGUGGAUAACCUACCUAUAAGACUGGGAUAACUUCGGGAAACCGGAGCUAAUACCGGAUAAUAUAUUGAACCGCAUGGUUCAAUAGUGAAAGACGGUUUUGCUGUCACUUAUAGAUGGAUCCGCGCCGCAUUAGCUAGUUGGUAAGGUAACGGCUUACCAAGGCAACGAUGCGUAGCCGACCUGAGAGGGUGAUCGGCCACACUGGAACUGAGACACGGUCCAGACUCCUACGGGAGGCAGCAGUAGGGAAUCUUCCGCAAUGGGCGAAAGCCUGACGGAGCAACGCCGCGUGAGUGAUGAAGGUCUUCGGAUCGUAAAACUCUGUUAUUAGGGAAGAACAAAUGUGUAAGUAACUAUGCACGUCUUGACGGUACCUAAUCAGAAAGCCACGGCUAACUACGUGCCAGCAGCCGCGGUAAUACGUAGGUGGCAAGCGUUAUCCGGAAUUAUUGGGCGUAAAGCGCGCGUAGGCGGUUUUUUAAGUCUGAUGUGAAAGCCCACGGCUCAACCGUGGAGGGUCAUUGGAAACUGGAAAACUUGAGUGCAGAAGAGGAAAGUGGAAUUCCAUGUGUAGCGGUGAAAUGCGCAGAGAUAUGGAGGAACACCAGUGGCGAAGGCGACUUUCUGGUCUGUAACUGACGCUGAUGUGCGAAAGCGUGGGGAUCAAACAGGAUUAGAUACCCUGGUAGUCCACGCCGUAAACGAUGAGUGCUAAGUGUUAGGGGGUUUCCGCCCCUUAGUGCUGCAGCUAACGCAUUAAGCACUCCGCCUGGGGAGUACGACCGCAAGGUUGAAACUCAAAGGAAUUGACGGGGACCCGCACAAGCGGUGGAGCAUGUGGUUUAAUUCGAAGCAACGCGAAGAACCUUACCAAAUCUUGACAUCCUCUGACCCCUCUAGAGAUAGAGUUUUCCCCUUCGGGGGGACAGAGUGACAGGUGGUGCAUGGCUUGUCGUCAGCUCGUGUCGUGAGAUGUUGGGCUUAGUCCCCGCACGAGC